AACGAACGCUGGCGGCGCGCCUAAUACAUGCAAGUCGAGCGAGAAGACGUAGCAAUACGUUUGUAAAGCGGCGAACGGGUGAGGAAUACAUGGGUAACCUACCCUCGAGUGGGGAAUAACUAGCCGAAAGGUUAGCUAAUACCGCGUACGCUCCUUGGACUUCGGUUCAGGGAGGAAAGCGAUACCGUGGGUAUCGCGCUCUUGGAUGGGCUCAUGUCCUAUCAGCUUGUUGGUGAGGAACGGCUCACCAAGGCUUCGACGGGUAGCUGGUCUGAGAGGACAAUCAGCCACACUGGCACUGCGACACGGGCCAGACUCCUACGGGAGGCAGCAGUAAGGAAUAUUGCGCAAUGGGCGAAAGCCUGACGCAGCGACGCCGCGGUGGGGGA
RNAcentral lists this ribosomal RNA (389 nucleotides) under uncultured bacterium. RNAcentral describes it as "bacterial SSU rRNA". It matches the Rfam family "Bacterial small subunit ribosomal RNA", at positions 29 to 408 of the family's 1533-position model. The record is from RNAcentral.